This is an RNA transcript of Trachemys scripta elegans, 2508 nucleotides long. It is a transcript of the gene named TAFA chemokine like family member 5, with no coding region annotated. The record is from RefSeq and is a predicted model, not a curated record. NCBI's taxonomy places the organism in Eukaryota, Metazoa, Chordata, Testudines, Emydidae. The transcript is spliced from 6 exons.
GGAGCGGAUCUGCUUGAGUUCCCGGCCUCUGUGGAGUUACCGGCAGUCACCUUGCCAGCCUGGGGCGGCCGCUGAAUCGGCCCGCACCCCGUGCGCUGCCUGCGCCCCAAUGCUGGAUUGGACUGUGAAGUGGUUGCAGUUGGGCAGGGGGUUACCCUAAAACUGCCUUUGGGCUGGAGAGUGGGGAGGUUUCCAUCCGAGUCUCCUCGUGACUGUAACUGAUUUGAUUUAAGAAAAUUCAGGGGGUGGUUUGUUUGUUUUUUCGCGGGGAGGGGGCGGAAACUAGCAAAGCAACAAAAAACUUGCUGACAUAAAAAGCCUAAUUUGUGGCUCAGUAGCACCAGGCAUCUUAAGCCCAGCAACAUCUAAAACGCUAGUGAAUCGGUGCAGGUGGAAACCCAUCAACCCUCCCCUGCACAGAGGUUUUUCUAUGCUUUAGAAAUAUUUUGCUUUCUCGCUGAAAGAUGCUUCCUGCAGGCUUGCAGAUGCUCAACCCUUGGGUCUUGUGAAGAUGUUUUUCUUUGGGAUUACACGUGGAGAAAGGCGAUCCGUCAAGGGGAGAACUGGCUGGUGAAACUAACUGACAUUCUUGCUCCGGGGAAGUGGCUUCAAUGGCUCCAUCUCCCAGGACAAGCAGUAGAAAAGAUGCCAACGCCUUGCCAAGCAUGUCCUCAACUUUCUGGGCAAUCAUGAUCCUGGCUAGUCUUCUAAUCGCCUACUGCAGUCAACUGGCUGCAGGUACAUGUGAGAUUGUUACUUUGGACAGAGAUAGCAGUCAGCCCCGAAGGACUAUAGCCCGACAAACAGCUCGCUGUGCAUGUAAAAAAGGACAGAUUGCCGGUACAACAAGAGCAAGGCCAGCCUGCGUGGAUGCACGAAUUAUCAAAACAAAACAGUGGUGUGAAAUGCUUCCAUGUUUAGAAGGAGAAGGCUGUGAUUUGCUAAUCAAUAAAUCAGGCUGGACCUGUACACAACCGGGUGGGCGAAUAAAGACAACCACGAAAUCUGAUCACCACAGAACUCCUUGCCAAAAUUCCACAGAAACCAGGGGGUAUUGGGGAUCUUGCCAAAGAAUUUAGAUCCAAUAUGCUGCACAAUACACAGGGCUCUGCCUCUGAUAGACAGCGACACACUGCCUGUCUGAGGCCAUGUGGUUUGGAGAUCUGAUCACUAGUCCGAAAAGAAAAGGCUGUUUUCAAGAUUUCUGGGGUGUUUUUUCCUGGAAAAGGUCUCCUGACAAAUGCAGCAGCAAAGAAUUCUCGUAUGAGUGGUCUAGGUUCUGUGUGAGCUACUUACCUUAGUCAAGUUUCACUGCUGUGGAUCAUCAUCCAUUAUAUGUCAUCAAUUCAACUGUCUGUUUCUCUAUAUCUCAUAAAAGACAGCAUAAUUCCUCUACAUUAUGAGCUAAAAGUCUGUUCUACCAUUCUAAGAAGCACUGGACUAAGGAAUAUAGAUAUAAGAGAUACGCUUGGGCAUUAGCAAUACAAAAAGUUCAUGGUUAACGUUUCAUCUGCGUUAUACACCACUGUUGGACUCGAUGUUACCUACAUGUUUUGAUCUGAAGAGUCUACUGCACUGAAGAGUAUUCAUCCCAAUCAGCCUUAGAGAAGACUGUUUUGUCUAUGGGAGGACACUGAGGUGCAAAAGAGAAUCUCUUCUUGUGCCGUGGACUGUCUGAAUUGCUUUUAUUUUCUUAUACUUUCAGUAUAUACAAUAGACCAAAGAGCAAAAUCUAUUUUAAAGUGGACACAAUCUUACUGUUAACAGAGCUAUCUGGGUUAAAUUGUAGGGUGGUCUCCACAAAGACAUGAUUUCAACUCUCACAAAGCUGAGAUGUUCCUGUACAGCAGAAGUCUUUAUGGAACACUGCAGUAAAAACUAAACUAGAAAAUUACUCUUGAAAAACCACAUUAUAAACAACGAAAUGGAGCAUGGAGAGAAAACGGCGUAUGUUUGAAAAACUUUGAUGAAACAACUACAAACUGUCUACAUGGCACCUUUAUUCCUCUGUACUUAGAUUGACUUUCUCAUACUAAAAUCAUUUUCAGUUUUAACCAGUUAAACAUGCCUCUUCUACAGUUCCAUUUUUGAUAGUUAAAAUUGGAUAAUACAGUAUUUGCAAAGAGCAUGUUUGGUCAUCUGUGGCCUAUGUCUCAUCUGAUACACCAUUUAGCACCAGAAAGCAAAUUAAAGAAAAAAAAAAGUAACACUUGUUUGAAAGAGAUCAUUAAAUGUAUUUUGAAAAGCCUAAAGUUAUAUAUUUAACAGUUUUUAUAUGUUGUAUAUUUGUAGAAAAUCCUAUUUAACAAUUAACGUGGUAACUCUGACGGUCAUGACAAAUGGUUCAGAGUUAAGUUGUGUUUUAUUACUUCAGUUGUCUCUGAAGUGACAGGUGUCAUUUGCUUUCUUCCAUUAGGACAUUCUGGAUGUAAAGCAUGACCAGAGAGGACUCUGUAGAAAAAGCAAAGAAUAAUGUUGUUUCUAUUACAUAAAUGCAUUCAACCAUUG